CCGCCGCAGUAACACAUGCAAGUCGAGGGGCAGCACAAAUGUAGUUUACUAUAUUGUUGGCGACCGGCGCACGGGUGCGUAACGCGUAUGCAACCUACCUUAUACUGGGGAAUAGCCCGAAGAAAUUCGGAUUAAUGCCCCAUAGUACUAUACUACUACCUGGUAUAAUAGUUAAAGCUUCGGCGGUAUAAGAUGGGCAGGCGUCCAAUUAGUUAGAUGGUGGGGUAACGGCUCACCAUGGCGACGAGUGGUAGGGGGGCUGAGAGGGUGGUCCCCCACACUGGUACUGAGACACGGACCAGACUCCUACGGGAGGCAGCAGUGAGGAAUAUUGGUCAAUGGGCGCAAGCCUGAACCAGCCAUGCCGCGUGAAGGAUGAAGGUUCUAUGGAUUGUAAACUUCUUUUAUUUGGGAAUAAACCUCUUUACGUGUAGAGAGCUGAAGGUACCAAAUGAAUAAGCACCGGCUAACUCCGUGCCAGCCGCCGCUGUA
RNAcentral lists this ribosomal RNA (492 nucleotides) under uncultured bacterium. Its description in RNAcentral is "bacterial SSU rRNA". It matches the Rfam family "Bacterial small subunit ribosomal RNA", at positions 39 to 522 of the family's 1533-position model. The record is from RNAcentral.